AAAGUGGAUUUCCCUUCUAAAGAGGAUCAGAAGAGGAUUCUCAAGUUUGGCAUGAGUCGAGUUACUGGAACUAGCUUUGUGUUGCAGUUUGAUGAGUGGAAAAAGAAGGAACCGCAGGGCACACCACUGACUCAGAUCUGGGUUCGAUUUUCGGGGGCACCUUCCGAGCCCUUGGAUGAUUUCUUUGUCACGUGGAGCUUGGGGUCCUUGCUCGGUAAGACGGAGCAGGUGGAUAUGCCUUUCACUUGUGCUCACGGUGUAGCUCGUUUGUUGAUUAGCAUGGCUAACAUUCAGUUCUUGCCGGAUGUGGUCAGAUGGUGUUAUGAGGGUAUUGCCUACAUGUUGAAUGUAGAGUAUGAGGACCCGGACUUGUUUCAGGAUUUUGAGGAGCUGCUACCUAUGGAUACCUCUGAGGGGGGAGGUGCUUCUGGGAACCGUGGAGAUGACGCACCCGGUGAUGGUGACAGGGGUUCCAGGCAUGUGGAUUCGUCUAAGCCAGCAGAGUCUGCUCAGGGGAAAACAUCGGUUUCGGCACCGUCCAACAUGCUUCAGCUUGGCUCCGUAGGGGCUUUCUCUGCGCCCCUUCGUCUUUGGAAUGAUCGUGUGGAGUUGGAUGAUCCGUCUGAGCAUGUGCCACCGGUGAUUUCGGAGGUCUUGAGGGCUGAGGAAACGGACAAAUUUUCUGCACAGGAGGUUGUUUCUCCUCCUUCAUCGCCGAUACCGCGGCUGGACAUGACGACUCUUUUGGACGACUCGGCGGAGCUGGCCGGGAGUACGGUCAGGUCCUUCUCUGCUUUGCCGGUGAUCGGUUCGUCGGGACUCAGGGCCAGCGCAGUAGUAACGACCACUCCGGAGGCUCGGCGG
RNAcentral lists this ribosomal RNA (864 nucleotides) under Triticum aestivum (bread wheat). RNAcentral describes it as "partial small subunit ribosomal RNA". The record is from RNAcentral. Lineage: Eukaryota; Viridiplantae; Streptophyta; Magnoliopsida; Poales; Poaceae.